AGGGUUUGAUCAUGGCUCAGGAUGAACGCUGGCGGCGUGCUUAACACAUGCAAGUCGAACGAACCUUCGGGUUAGUGGCGGACGGGUGAGUAACGCGUGAGAAUCUGCCCUCAGGAGGGGGAUAACGGUUGGAAACGACCGCUAAUACCCCAUAUGCCUAUUGGUGAAAUGAAUUUCGCCUGAGGAUGAGCUCGCGUCUGAUUAGCUAGUUGGUGAGGUAAUGGCUCACCAAGGCUUCGAUCAGUAGCUGGUCUGAGAGGAUGAUCAGCCACACUGGGACUGAGACACGGCCCAGACUCCUACGGGAGGCAGCAGUGGGGAAUUUUCCGCAAUGGGCGAAAGCCUGACGGAGCAACGCCGCGUGAGGGACGAAGGCCUCUGGGCUGUAAACCUCUUUUCUCAAGGAAGAAGAUAUGACGGUACUUGAGGAAUAAGCCACGGCUAAUUCCGUGCCAGCAGCCGCGGUAAUACGGGAGUGGCAAGCGUUAUCCGGAAUUAUUGGGCGUAAAGCGUCCGCAGGCGGCUUUUCAAGUCUGCUGUUAAAGCGUGGAGCUUAACUCCAUCAUGGCAGUGGAAACUGAAAGGCUUGAGUAUGGUAGGGGCAGAGGGAAUUCCCGGUGUAGCGGUGAAAUGCGUAGAUAUCGGGAAGAACACCAGUGGCGAAGGCGCUCUGCUGGGCCAUUACUGACGCUCAUGGACGAAAGCCAGGGGAGCGAAAGGGAUUAGAUACCCCUGUAGUCCUGGCCGUAAACGAUGAACACUAGGUGUCGGGGGAAUCGACCCCUUCGGUGUCGUAGCUAACGCGUUAAGUGUUCCGCCUGGGGAGUACGCACGCAAGUGUGAAACUCAAAGGAAUUGACAGGGGCCCGCACAAGCGGUGGAGUAUGUGGUUUAAUUCGAUGCAACGCGAAGAACCUUACCAGGGUUUGACAUCCUGCGAACCUCUUAGAAAUUUGAGGGUGCCUUCGGGAAUGCAGUGACAGGUGGUGCAUGGCUGUCGUCAGCUCGUGUCGUGAGAUGUUGGGUUAAGUCCCGCAACGAGCGCAACCCACGUUUUUAGUUGCCAGCAUUUAGUUGGGCACUCUAGAAAGACCGCCGGUGAUAAACCGGAGGAAGGUGUGGAUGACGUCAAGUCAUCAUGCCCCUUACACCCUGGGCUACACACGUACUACAAUGCUACGGACAAAGGGCAGCAAACUCGCGAGAGCUAGCAAAUCCCAUAAACCGUGGCUCAGUUCAGAUCGUAGGCUGCAACUCGCCUACGUGAAGUAGGAAUCGCUAGUAAUCGCAGGUCAGCAUACUGCGGUGAAUACGUUCCCGGGCCUUGUACACACCGCCCGUCACACCAUGGAAGUUGGCCAUGCCCGAAGUCGUUACUCCAACCCUUGUGGAGGAGGACGCCGAAGGUGGGGCUAAUGACUGGGGUGAAGUCGUAACAAGGUAGCCGUA
This 1449-nucleotide ribosomal RNA is filed under the name uncultured bacterium. RNAcentral's name for it is "bacterial SSU rRNA". It matches the Rfam family "Bacterial small subunit ribosomal RNA". The record is from RNAcentral.